RNAcentral lists this ribosomal RNA (375 nucleotides) under uncultured organism. RNAcentral describes it as "partial 16S ribosomal RNA". It matches the Rfam family "Bacterial small subunit ribosomal RNA", at positions 527 to 896 of the family's 1533-position model. The record is from RNAcentral.
GUAGGUGGCAAGCGUUGUCCGGAAUUAUUGGGCGUAAAGCGCGCGCAGGCGGUUCUUUAAGUCUGAUGUGAAAGCCCACGGCUCAACCGUGGAGGGUCAUUGGAAACUGGAGAACUUGAGUACAGAAGAGGAAGGCGGAAUUCCACGUGUAGCGGUGAAAUGCGUAGAGAUGUGGAGGAACACCAGUGGCGAAGGCGGCUUUCUGGUCUGUAACUGACGCUGAGGCGCGAAAGCGUGGGGAGCAAACAGGGAUUAGAUACCCUGGUAGUCCACGCCGUAAGCGAUGAGUGCUAAGUGUUAGGGGGGUUUUCCGCCCCCCUUAGUGCUGCAGCUAACGCAUUAAGCACUCCGCCUGGGAGUACGGCCGCAAGGCUG